AGUCUGCAACUCGACUACAUGAAGCUGGAAUCGCUAGUAAUCGCGAAUCAGAAUGUCGCGGUGAAUACGUUCCCGGGUCUUGUACACACCGCCCGUCACACCAUGGGAGUUGGUAACGCCCGAAGUCAGUGACCCAACCGAAAGGAGGGAGCCGCCUAAGGCGGGACCGAUAACUGGGGUGAAGUCGUAACAAGGUAAC
Molecule: ribosomal RNA, 199 nt
Filed under: uncultured bacterium
Lineage: Bacteria
Description: partial 16S ribosomal RNA
Rfam family: Bacterial small subunit ribosomal RNA
Source: RNAcentral